This 313-nucleotide ribosomal RNA is filed under the name uncultured fungus. RNAcentral describes it as "SSU rRNA". It matches the Rfam family "Eukaryotic small subunit ribosomal RNA", at positions 1378 to 1690 of the family's 1831-position model. Lineage: Eukaryota; Fungi. The record is from RNAcentral.
GGCUAGUGUCGCGACCUGCGUUCGUGGUGCUUCUUAGAGGGACUGACCACGUUUAGUGGUAGGAAGUUUGAGGCAAUAACAGGUCUGUGAUGCCCUUAGAUGUUCUGGGCCGCACGCGCGCUACACUGACAAAGCCAGCGAGUAUAUAACCUUGGCCGGAAGGCCUGGGCAAUCUUGUGAAACUUUGUCGUGCUGGGGAUAGACCAUUGCAAUUAUUGGUCUUCAACGAGGAAUUCCUAGUAAGCGCAAGUCAUCAGCUUGCGUUGAUUACGUCCCUGCCCUUUGUACACACCGCCCAUCGCUACUACCGGUG